AACUUUUAACAAUGGAUCUCUUGGUUCUGGCAUCGAUGAAGAACGCAGCGAAAUGCGAUAAGUAGUGUGAAUUGCAGACUUUAGUGAAUCAUCGAAUCUUUGAACGCACAUUGCGCCCCUUGGUAUUCCAUUGGGCAUGCCUGUUCGAGCGUCA
Molecule: ribosomal RNA, 154 nt
Filed under: Pseudocoleophoma polygonicola
Lineage: Eukaryota; Fungi; Ascomycota; Dothideomycetes; Pleosporales; Dictyosporiaceae
Description: 5.8S ribosomal RNA
Rfam family: 5.8S ribosomal RNA
About the family: 5.8S ribosomal RNA (5.8S rRNA) is a component of the large subunit of the eukaryotic ribosome. It is transcribed by RNA polymerase I as part of the 45S precursor that also contains 18S and 28S rRNA.
Source: RNAcentral